UGUUUGAUAGUUUUGCAAUAA
Molecule: non-coding RNA, 21 nt
Filed under: Caenorhabditis elegans
Lineage: Eukaryota; Metazoa; Nematoda; Chromadorea; Rhabditida; Rhabditidae
Source: RNAcentral